Xiphophorus couchianus (Monterrey platyfish) is the source of this 964-nucleotide long non-coding RNA. RefSeq lists it as uncharacterized. The record is from RefSeq and is a predicted model, not a curated record. Lineage: Eukaryota; Metazoa; Chordata; Actinopteri; Cyprinodontiformes; Poeciliidae. The transcript is spliced from 2 exons.
UUGGCGGCGCCUUCGCGGACUGUAGGAAAUCUGAGCUCAACCCACUUCAGGAAGGAAGGAUGAGUCGGAGGAAGCAGCAGAACUCGUUGUCUCCAUCCACAAACAUGAAGUUGGGUGAAAAUCCAGCCAGAUGACCUGAAGGCGUCCAGAUCAGACGAACCAGCAGAUGUUUGGUUCUGAGCUGCAGCAGAUGGAGUCACCAUCCAUCCACCAUCAACAGGAAACCAAGAAGCUUCAAAUCUUCCACCUGAGCCAAAACCAGACUGGAGCAGUUUGCUUUUAUUCAGCUGAAAACCAAAACCUGAGAGGCGGAGGAGCCGUUUCUAUCCCGUCUACUUGGUAUUAAACCUCUUGGAUGCUCCUGGACUGAAGAUCCAAUCAGAGGAGACAUUUCUUCAUGCUUCCAGUCUGCAGCCUGCCCCUCCACACUUACAAACCAAAAACAAAAUGUUUUUGAUUAUGAACACAAUAAGAAAUGGAGAUUUUAGGAGAUUUUCCUGAAGUUCUUAUGCAAAAUAUGCUCAUAAUAUCUACAAGCUUCAAACUAAGCUACCUACCUUUCUAAUACUGUGUAAAAUGGCUUAAAUGCCUUUUUUUUUUUUUUUUUACAAUUUAUUGCCAGAAUAAUCAAUAGAAUAAUCGAUUAGUCUUUAGCUGCAGUCCGUUCACUGAGCUGUUCUUAGUUUUGGUUCACCGUUUUCAGGAGAGUGAUUCCUCCGCCUGUUGGCCAAACGGUGCAUCAUAAUGGUGCAACGACAAAUAUGACACAUUAGUGCGUCUGGUUUUGCUGCAGGGACGUUUUUCUGUCCACCAAUCGAUGGCCUGCGCUGCGCGACGCCUGUAGCUUCAUCCUAACUUCUUCUUACAACGGAAAAAGAAAAUAGAGAACCGAACCGAUCCGCUCAGUGGAAACUAGGCACACAUUUCAAAUGUCAUGUUGGAAAUAAACUUCAUGAUCAAAACA